This 1316-nucleotide ribosomal RNA is filed under the name metagenome. Its description in RNAcentral is "bacterial LSU rRNA". It matches the Rfam family "Bacterial large subunit ribosomal RNA", at positions 1588 to 2925 of the family's 2925-position model. The record is from RNAcentral.
GAAGCAUGUGAGCCAUGUGCCAAGAAAAGCCGCUAUUGUGAUACACAUACCCGUACCGUAAACCGACACAGGUGGAUGAGGAGAGAAUCCUAAGGCCGACGGAAGAAGCAUUGUUAAGGAACUCGGCAAAAUGACCCCGUAACUUCGGGAGAAGGGGUGCCCUGUGAAAGCAGGGCCGCAGAGAAUAGGCUCAAGCAACUGUUUAGCAAAAACACAGGUCUAUGCGAAACCGAAAGGUGAGGUAUAUGGGCUGACGCCUGCCCGGUGCUGGAAGGUUAAGAGGAGAAGUCAGGCAACGAAGCUUCGAAUUUAAGCCCCAGUAAACGGCGGCCGUAACAAUAACGGUCCUAAGGUGGCGAAAUUCCUUGUCGGGUAAGUUCCGACCCGCACGAAAGGCGUAAUGAUUUGAGCACUGUCUCGACAAUGCAUCCGGUGAAAUUGAAGUACCAGUGAAGAUGCUGGUUACCUGCGCCAGGACGGAAAGACCCCAUGGAGCUUUACUCCAGCUUGAUACUGGGAUUCGAUACUGUAUGUACAGGAUAGGUGGGAGACGUUGAACAUAGAACGCCAGUUUUAUGUGAGUCGCUGUUGGGAUACCACCCUUGCAGUAUUGGAUUUCUAACCUGCACCCAUGACCUGGGUGGGGGACAAUGUCUGGCGGGGAGUUUGACUGGGGCGGUCGCCUCCGAAAGGGUAUCGGAGGCGCUCAAAGGUUCCCUCAGAAUGGUUGGAAACCAUUCGAAGAGUGCAAAGGCAGAAGGGAGCUUGACUGUGACACCGACGGGUGGAACAGGUACGAAAGUAGGACUUAGUGAUCCGGUGGUAUAAAGUGGGAUUGCCAUCGCUCAACGGAUAAAAGCUACCCUGGGAUAACAGGCUUAUCACUCCCAAGAGUUCACAUCGACGGAGUGGUUUGGCACCUCGAUGUCGGCUCAUCGCAUCCUGGGGCUGUAGCAGGUCCCAAGGGUUGGGCUGUUCGCCCAUUAAAGCGGUACGCGAGCUGGGUUCAGAACGUCGUGAGACAGUUCGGUCCCUAUCCGGCGCAGGCGGAGGAUAUUUGAGAGGAGCUGUCCUUAGUACGAGAGGACCGGGAUGGACGGACCACUGGUGUAUCUGUUGGCUAUCGGAGCCAUGGCAGAGUAGCCAAGUCCGGCAGGGAUAAACGCUGAAGGCAUCUAAGCGUGAAGCCCCCCUCAAGAUGAGAUAUCCCUCAGAAAUGAGUAAGACCCCUUGAAGACUACGAGGUAGAUAGGAAUGAGGUGUAAGCACAGCAAUGUGUUCAGCUGACAUUUACUAAUCGGUCGAGGGCUUGACCG